GACGAACGCUGGCGGCGUGCUUAACACAUGCAAGUCGAACGGAAAAGGCCUGCUUUUGUGGGGAUCUCGAGUGGCGAGCGGGUGUGAAACACGUGAGUAACCUUCCCUUUAGUGUGGGAUAACUUCAUGAAACUGGUGCUAAUACAGCAUAUGAGCGCCUGCUACAUGGGGGUUAUGGGAAAGUUUUGGUGGUUGGGGAUGGAGGUGCGGCUUAGCAGCUUGUUGGUUAGGUAGUGGCUUACCAAGGCAUUGAAGGGUAGCCGGCAUGAGAGGGUGACCGGGCACAUUGGGACUGAGGUAGGGCCCAGAGGGAUACGGGAGGCAGAGGUGGGGAACAUUGCACAAUGGGCGGCGGUGUGAUGAAGCAAUGUCGGGUGCGGGAUGACGGUUUUCGGGUUGUAAAGCGCUUUAGCGUGUGACGAAGCGUGAGUGACGGUAACGGGUAAAGAAGCACCGGCUAACUACGUG
This 468-nucleotide ribosomal RNA is filed under the name uncultured bacterium. RNAcentral's name for it is "partial 16S ribosomal RNA". It matches the Rfam family "Bacterial small subunit ribosomal RNA", at positions 28 to 507 of the family's 1533-position model. The record is from RNAcentral.